CGAAUUCAGAUUAGGCAGCAGUGGGGAAUAUUGCACAAUGGGCGCAAGCYUGAUGCAGCCAUGCCGCGUGUGUGAAGAAGGCUUUCGGGUUGUAAAGCACUUUCAGCGAGGAGGAAAGGUUGUACUUUAAUAGAGUGCAGCUGUGACGUUACUCGCAGAAGAAGCACCGGCUAACUCCGUGCCAGCAGCCGCGGUAAUACGGAGGGUGCGAGCGUUAAUCGGAAUUACUGGGCGUAAAGCGCGCGUAGGUGGUUAAUUAAGUCAGAUGUGAAAUCCCAGGGCUCAACCUUGGAACUGCAUUUGAAACUGGUUAACUAGAGUUUUGUAGAGGGUGGUAGAAUUUCAGGUGUAGCGGUGAAAUGCGUAGAGAUCUGAAGGAAUACCAGUGGCGAAGGCGGCCACCUGGACAAAGACUGACACUUGAGGCGCGAAGGCGUGGGGAGCAAACGGGAUUAGAUACCCCGGUAGUCCACGCAGUAAACGAUGUCUAUUAGAAUUUUGUGGCUAUAUGCCGUGGGAUUCAAAGCUAACGCAUUAAAUAGACCGCCUGGGGAGUACGGUCGCAAGAUUAAAACUCAAAGGAAUUGACGGGG
This 593-nucleotide ribosomal RNA is filed under the name uncultured bacterium. RNAcentral's name for it is "bacterial SSU rRNA". It matches the Rfam family "Bacterial small subunit ribosomal RNA", at positions 332 to 918 of the family's 1533-position model. The record is from RNAcentral.